UCCCUAGUGGCUCAGAUAGUAAAGCACUUGCCUGCAAUGCAGGAAAACUGGGUUCAAUUCCUGGGUCUGGAA
RNAcentral lists this transfer RNA (72 nucleotides) under Bos taurus (domestic cattle). It matches the Rfam family "tRNA". From Rfam's summary of the family: Transfer RNA (tRNA) molecules are approximately 80 nucleotides in length. Their secondary structure includes four short double-helical elements and three loops (D, anti-codon, and T loops). Lineage: Eukaryota; Metazoa; Chordata; Mammalia; Artiodactyla; Bovidae. The record is from Rfam by way of RNAcentral. RNAcentral also lists the same sequence under 5 other names.